This 468-nucleotide ribosomal RNA is filed under the name uncultured bacterium. Its description in RNAcentral is "partial 16S ribosomal RNA". It matches the Rfam family "Bacterial small subunit ribosomal RNA", at positions 28 to 507 of the family's 1533-position model. The record is from RNAcentral.
GACGAACGCUGGCGGCGUGCUUAACACAUGCAAGUCGAACGGAAAGGCCCUGCUUUUGUGGGGUGCUCGAGUGGCGAACGGGUGAGUAACACGUGAGUAACCUGCCCUUGACUUUGGGAUAACUUCAGGAAACUGGGGCCAAUACCGGAUAGGAGCUCCUGCUGCAUGGUGGGGGUUGGAAAGUUUCGGCGGUUGGGGAUGGACUCGCGGCUUAUCAGCUUGUUGGUGGGGUAGUGGCUUACCAAGGCUUUGACGGGUAGCCGGCCUGAGAGGGUGACCGGCCACAUUGGGACUGAGAUACGGACCAGACUCCUACGGGAGGCAGCAGUGGGGAAUAUUGCACAAUGGGCGGAAGCCUGAGGCAGCAACGCCGCGUGCGGGAUGACGGCCUUCGGGUUGUAAACCGCUUUCGCCUGUGACGAAGCGUGAGUGACGGUAAUGGGUAAAGAAGCACCGGCUAACUACGUG